UACGUAGGGGGCAAGCGUUGUCCGGAUUUACUGGGCGUAAAGAGCGUGUAGGCGGCCAAACAGGUCCGUUGUGAAAACUCGAGGCUCAACCUCGAGACGUCGGCGGAAACCAUCUGGCUAGAGUCCGGAAGAGGAGAGUGGAAUUCCUGGUGUAGCGGUGAAAUGCGCAGAUAUCAGGAAGAACACCCGUGUCGAAGGCGGCUCUCUGGGACGGUACUGACGCUGAGACGCGAAAGCGUGGGGAGCGAACAGG
This 253-nucleotide ribosomal RNA is filed under the name uncultured bacterium. RNAcentral describes it as "partial 16S ribosomal RNA". It matches the Rfam family "Bacterial small subunit ribosomal RNA", at positions 524 to 776 of the family's 1533-position model. The record is from RNAcentral.